UACGUAGGUGGCGAGCGUUGUCCGGAUUUAUUGGGCGUAAAGCGCGCGCAGGUGGUGCGGUAAGUCUGUCGUGAAAUCUCCUGGCUCAACUGGGGAGGGUGCGGUGGAGACUGCCGGACUGGAGGCACUCAGAGGCCGGUGGAAUUCCCGGGUGUAGUGGUGAAAUGCGUAGAGAUCGGGAGGAACACCAGUGGCGAAGGCGGGUCUCUGGGCCGAUACUGACGCUGAGGAGCGAAAGCGUGGGGAGCCGAACGAGGAAUUGAUGAAA
This 268-nucleotide ribosomal RNA is filed under the name uncultured bacterium. RNAcentral describes it as "partial 16S ribosomal RNA". It matches the Rfam family "Bacterial small subunit ribosomal RNA", at positions 524 to 784 of the family's 1533-position model. The record is from RNAcentral.